GGAGGGAUGGCAGAGUGGUUGAAUGCACCGGUCUUGAAAACCGGCGUAGGUUAAUAGCCUACCCAGGGUUCGAAUCCCUGUCCCUCCGCCA
Molecule: transfer RNA, 91 nt
Filed under: Gammaproteobacteria bacterium HGW-Gammaproteobacteria-6
Lineage: Bacteria; Pseudomonadati; Pseudomonadota; Gammaproteobacteria
Also listed under: 1 other name
Description: tRNA-Ser
Rfam family: tRNA
About the family: Transfer RNA (tRNA) molecules are approximately 80 nucleotides in length.
Source: RNAcentral